AUAGAAUCCUUUAGCCAUCACAUUCCAACAGGAAAUGUGUUUUGCCCCUAAGGAGCAGGAGGCAAUUUCUGAUCUCUAGAAAGGUCUUCAGGCUAGCUAUUAACAUCAGAAAGAGCCACGUCAGGGGUCUAACAGGUGCACAUUUCAGGCUGACAGGUUAAGAGUCAACCUGAAGUUCUGGUUAAUGACUAAUUAAGUUGCGGGUAGUUCUUAGCUAGAAAUCAACUGGAGUUCUCAUGAGCUGAAAAUAGGGAGAAUAAUAUCUUUUUAGCUUUUAAAAUGCACCGUGCUUCCUCAGGGCAAGAGGAAGGUGGUUGUCGUGGUCUUGCCUGUUUGACAGUAGAUGCAGGAAGACCUCUACUUCCAAGGAAUUAUUUGUGCCAGACUGCUAGCCAGAGAGGCCAGGGCAUCUCUAGAAUGAAGGAGUAACGCCUUUUUGAACACUGCAAUGUUUUUCUCAGGCAGGUGGUUUGGAAGAACAAAAUAUAUAAUGUCAUGUCUUCAUUUUAGUUCUCCUGCCUUAAACACAUACAUGCACACAGAUGCAUGAGAGUUGAACCUUUUACUUCAGAUUUUCCAUAAUAAGUUUGAUCUGGGCCUUUGCUGACUGCUGUGUUUGGAGAAAGAAGAUCAUGUUUAUUUAAAAAACAGAAGCAUUAAUUUCAAUCUUUGUGGCCUCAGUAUUGAGGAGGGGACUGACCUGGAGAGAGAAUAGACUUUUUCUUCAUGGCUAGGUGUUCCUGCUGGGCACAGGAUGGCUCAGAUCAGAUUUAGGGAACACUUUGAUCUGAAACUUUCUUCCUUGCUUUUCUCAAGCAGAUACAAACUUUUUGUUCCCAGAGGUUAAUGCCUGUGUGAUGAUUAUAUUUGCUCCGGAAUCAUCUAACUUACCCUCUUACCUUUCAAAAUUCUGCAUGAAACAGCCAGGGUCCACACAAAUGAGCUAAAGUGGGGCCUCUGGUCUUCUCUCUGUCACCUCCUUAUGUUCCCUGGCAUGUGUGUUGUGGUGUGAGAGGGAGUUGUCUCUAUGAGUUUUAAUUUUCCGGGUUUUAUUUGUUUGUUUGUUUGUUUACUAGCAGUCUGGUUUCAAAAAAACUUUCAGAACUUCUUGUCAGACCCCAUAUACAUUUAAAAGAAAUUGGCCUCUCCUCUUCCUAUCUGCUAAUCAUUUUUCACAUCGUUUUUUCAUUUACAGCAUUUGGGAAGGAAAGUUCACUUAAAAAAUCUUUAGACCACCUGUUAGAGAAAUACAAACAGAAUGCUUGUUUUCUGGGAUAAAGGGGGGAAAACCUCCAUUUCAUAUUUUUUAAUGUGUGUGGUAUGGUGGAAAAGACAUGAACUUUGGAACCGGUCUGGCCUUGGGACCAAAUCGAACUCCACCACUUAAUAACUAUGUACACCUAGAUGAGUCACUUGGAUUUUCUUAGUGCCGGUUUCCUCAUUGUGUGGUGGAGGUAGUGAUACUAAUCGUGUAGAAUCCUUUCGAGAAAUAGAGAAAAUAUGUUUUAAUCACCUGCUAUACCAUAAAUCAGUGUUCCCCAACCUUUUGGUACCAGGGACUGGUUUCAUGGAAGACAGUUUUUCCACUGAUGGGCAGGGAGUGGUGUGGGGGGCAGAAGGGGAAGGGCAUUAGAUUCUCAUAAGAAGCCCCCAACCUAGAUCCCUCACGUGUGCAGUUUACAAUAGGGUUCCCGCUCCUAUGAGAAUCUAAUGCUGCUGCUGGUCUGACAGGAGGUGGAGCUCAGGCAAUAAUGCUUGCCCACCCACCAAUCACCUCCUGCUGUGCAGCCAGGUUCCUAACAGGCCACAGACCAGUACUGUGGUCCCCUGGGGAUUGGGGGCCCCUGCUGUAAAUGGUGCCUAUUAUUUCUAACAUCCCGUUUUCAGUGGAUUUUAUCUUUUGCUUUAGAGAUGCCAAGCACCCAUCAGCCUUUGACUGAAAAAUUCCCCAAAUUUAGCUCCUGCCUCACUCUCCUUGCAGUUCCUACAAUCCUUUCUGCCCCCCAGUUUUCCUACCUGCCCAGCACAACCUCUCCAAAAAGGAUCUGAGAUUCACCUAUGUUGAACUUAUAAUGGCCCUCGCAGAGGCUUUCUGUUUCAACAGGGUUGAAAGCCUGGCACUAAGGAGUAAAGCAAACACAGAGGGGCUGGAAGCAAGAGGGAUCACUUUAUUUUUUAGAAUACCAGGACUUUAGCGUCUCUGAAUUCCCAGCUCUCAGGAGCUAAGUCAGCCUUACUCACUUAUACACAGGCCCUGGUUUCCAUGUGAUAGUGAUUCUAAUAUAAGCUGACCUAUCAUAGCAUUGAUCCUUCCUCUGCUUCUCUCCAUAGGCAGGAGUGUGUAACACCAAGUACAGUAGUCACAAUACCUACCUCCUUUCCCCCCCCGAUUUGGUUGAGCAGUGAACAAGUCUCAGAGUUAAAAACAUUUUUCCUUGCAAUGUUUACCCUGACUUUCUCCUGCUUUACCUAUUACCUCUUGAAUGAAGUAUCUACUGCUAUAUAACAAGUUAUCUCAAAUUCAGCAGCUGAAGAUAGUAAUCAAGAUUUAUUGUGUCAUUCAUUUUCCGUGAGUCGGUUUCUGUAACCCCAUAGCCUUUAGGGCUGCAAUGCCUAUGGCACUAAAAGUCUUGUUAUUUGUUUGAGGGGGGAAUGUCCCAUUUCACUUGGCACAUUUCACACCCUUUCCAUGUUCACCAAGUAGCACCUGGGGACAGGCAGAGACCCCAUUUAGACUUUCAGUUCAGGAGCAGCUUUAGCUGAGGAGCCAGGCUUGUUAGCAUUUCAGAGGUGUAGCAGCCUGCCUUGGCCAGGGCAGUGCUACUCCAUUGCCAGGAUUCUUUUUUUUUUUUCUUUGAGACGGAGUUUCACUUUUGUUGUCCGGGCUGGAGUGCAAUGGUGUGAUCUUGGCUCACUGCAACCUCUGCCUCCCGGGUUCAAGCGAUUCUCCUGCCUGAGCUUCCUGAGUAGCUGGGAUUACAGGCAUGUGCCGCGAAGCCCAGCUAAUUUUGUAUUUUUAGUAGAGACGGGGUUUCUCCAUGUUGGUCAGGCUGGUCUCGAAAUCCCGACCUCAGGUGAUCCACCUGCCUCGGCCUGGCAAAGUGCUGGGAUUACAGGCGUGAACCACCGCGCCCGGCUGCCAGGGAUUCUUAAGACUGUGGUAGACCUCAACCCCAGCCUCGCCUUUGCUACCUGUUCCCAGGUACUGCUUAAACCAAAACCUACUGAAAAGGCAAGUGGGUGACUAGCGUAUGCAGGGCUUAGAUUUUUGGAUUAGGAAAGUGACACUUUCUUUAAGUAAAGACACAACUCUUGGGCUUUCCUGAGGUCAGCAAGGUGUAGGAUGGAAGGUGAAUUUUAGGAAAGAAGUUGGGUAAUGUAGAACCAUUCCUACUUUCCCCCCAGGGCCCUAAAGAAUGUAUACCUAUAAGAAAUCUGGCUGAGAUUUAAGGCAGGGCCUGUGGCCAGUAAUAUUUACCUUCUAGACAAAGAUAACUCACUCAUUUGAGGAAUUUGGUCGCUACUUUUACUUCAUUAGCACCAAGGACUGAGCUAACUGGAUCUCCCUUAAGCAUCUGUGGCCUCAGAAUUUUUUCUCAGGUUCAUUAAACUGAAAACGCCCACCACCCCCCUUCCUUUUUUGUUCCCCUCUUGGCAGUUUUCAUUUUCUCCAAAUGGAAGUUUAUAGAUAUGCAGCUCAGCAUUUAGCUGAUGUUUCUCUUGGUUGCAGAGCUAUUAGAAAUAGACUUUUUUCCUCACACAGUGACUAUUCUUUUCCCAACAUUCUCAUAUCACUAUAGAAGACAGCUCCGGGGGAGAGAGGAGUUGCCAAGCCUUAAGGCCCGAAUAACUGGGAAUCUGGCAAAUUUCCUGGACUAUGAUGUCCCCUGGCCUGGGAGAAGUGCCAGCAGCGGGGGUGUCAGGGAGAGGCACUGUGCUGUGUGCAUGUGCGUGUCAGAGCUCCUGAGCCCUGAAGGAGCAUGAGUUCGAUUCUGGGAUGCUUUCAGUUAUUAAAAGCAUUAUUGCUUUUGACCUUCUCAUCCCUCUCUCCAUGUGCAGAGUUUUGGUCAGUCUCAGUGGAACAUAAAAACUGGUAAGAAAAAGUUUAAUUGAAGCAGGUUUUUGAAGCCAAAGGAAAAGAUAUAAGUUCCACAAGAGCUGUGGCCAUUAUAGCUGUUUCUGUGGAAAGACUUGGGGCUUGUUCACCUAUAUGAAGCUUCCUAAGGGACGUCUAUCUCCCAGUGCCCUGCCGUGGGGACUAGAUGGGCCUGGGUCGAUAGAAGGGAGGAUGGAAGGAAGGCAAGCUCGUUUCCUGAUCAGUAGGAACCAAAAAACCAGGGAGAGUAGAUUGUGUUAUGUAAAAUGAGUCCCUCUGCUUUCUGGGAACAUGUGGGGUUCAUUUAGGUAAUUACCAGCUCAGACUGGGUGGCAUAAUAAUCAUCUUUACUUGUUUUUAUUUAUUUAUUUUUUUAGACCGAGUCUUGCUCUAUUGCCCAACAUGGAGUGUGGUGGCGUGAUCUCGGCUCACUGCAACCUCUGCCUCCCUGGUUCAAGCAACUCUCCUGCCUCAGCCUCCCGAGUAGCUGGGAUUACAGUGAACACUAGCUGCAGUUUUGUUUUCAUACCUGGACAGAGCAUAAAUCCUGCCAUGAACACAGCAAAGAUCAUUCAGAAAGUGAAGAGGAAGGAGAAACAACGGUUCAUGUUAAACUUGAGAUGCUAAUCUUGAAAUGCCACCCGUUCUCUUCUGAUUAGAUUACAUGCAGAAUAAAACAUGCAGGCAAUCUCAAACCUCUCCUCUCAGACGUUUCUGAUUCUUAUUGUGUGCCUCUCUGGGAAGAUACAGAUAGCAUCGAAUAAUCUCUCUGAGGGAAUUAGUUGCUGUUUCCUCUUUCCUGUUUUGAACAAAUUUUCUUUAAUGCAUUGUGUGAGUACACAUGUAGAACAUAUUCUUUGACAUCACAUAAAUAUUUACACAAUAUUUAAAACUCACUGUCAUGAAGUAUUUAUUUCACUUGCAAACAUUAUCAUCUAUUGUUCUAUGGAAAAUUACAAAAUAAAAGGCACGGCUGCUUUGAUUUUUAGUACCUGGUUUUGUUUGUUUUGUUUUCUUUCCAUUGACCUUGCAUAUUUACCAGUGAAUUUAUAAAGUCAAAACAGAGCAUUAUUGAAAGGGAAAAUUAAGUAGACUCCCCAGAGAUUGAGAGGUAAAGUUUGCACCCUAGCUUCUGUGAGGAGCACCUCCCAGUCAUAAUCACUGUACUCUGGACUAUCAUGGCAAUUUCUUGCUUUGUUAGCAGAGACCUGUCUAUUAAGGACCAAAUCCAGAAUAUCUGAGAACAAAAUUGAGGGAGUAGCCAUGGGUUAUCCCUUUGUGCCUAGAACAUUGCCUGGAAUCCAGUGUCCACAUGAUAAACAUUUUUAGGAUGAAUAGCUUAUUAUAUACCCUUGCAGAAAUUUUCCAUCCACAGUCUUGCUUAUAUGCGUUUGAGUGUAUUCUUUUUUUCUCAUUUUAUACAAAUAAAUACACACUAUCGACA
Molecule: long non-coding RNA, 5540 nt
Organism: Homo sapiens (human)
Lineage: Eukaryota; Metazoa; Chordata; Mammalia; Primates; Hominidae
Exons: 2
Source: RefSeq, a predicted model, not a curated record